GUCACAGAGGAUGCUGACGUCGCUAAUAUUGUUACUGGUGUGGAUGUAGCCUCUGCUUAGUGUUAUAAGCAGUUCGAGGAUGGUGCUUUGGGAUUCAGUAGCAUCUGACCGUGCAAAGGCCCUGAUGGGGAAGCUGUGCGAGAUUUGUUGGGCCACAGAAAGACACACACCAGAUCUGGCCCUUGGUUUUCCACUGUAGCACAAGCGUGGAACCAGGUCACCCUGCUGCUACUCUGAUCUUACCGCUCAUUAAGAUCAUCGUGCUCAUCUGGCUCCUGACGGCUGCAUGCAUCCCCCUGGCCCCUCUGAUGUCAGCGUCUCAUCAUCCCCAUCGCUAUCAGAGAGCCCGGUUGUCUAACAGCAUCUUCUCCCAUGGCCUGAGCCUAAAGAAGACAGCCAACCUCUGAGCUUCUUGGAGAAGAGGAGGCCAUUCACAACAGUACAUUCCUUUCUACUUUGUUGAAUGGAAUGUCCUUCAGGCUCUCCCAUGCAACUUAGCUCUCCAGUGGAGUUUCCACAGAGAGACACCAGCGCUUCAUAAAGAGAAGUGACCACUUCUACAGACUCAGAGAGUUCACAGAAAUAUGAAGAUUCAAGAUCUUCAGGAGCAUCGACCAGACAUUCCCAUCCCAUAUGUUAGGGGCUCAUUCUGCCCCCAGGUAACAUAACAAUGAUUCCACUAAACUAGAAUUUGAGACGUUGGGUUCCAUAUAUCUCUGAAUCAACAGGUAAAGAAGGGGGUGACUGGACUGGCUGGCAUGAUUGAUCGCCACUACCAAGGGGAGUUGAGUUGCUACUACACAAUGGAGGGAAGGAAUGGUGUGUCUAGAAACAAGAGAUCCCUUAGUGUGUCUCUUAGUACCACCAUGUCCAGUGACAAAAGUCAAUAGAAAAUUACAACAGUGUUUUUCUUUCUCUGUCUGACUUUUACGUGACAUGAUGGAGGUGGUAGCUAACCCUAUGGUGGUAAUCAUAUUGCAAUACAUCAGUCUAUCAAAUCAACACACUGUACACCUUAAAGUUACACAAUGUCAUAUGUGAAUUAUAUCUUAAUAAAAUUGGGGGAAAAUGUAAUGAUAUUGAAAAAGAAGAAAAUUACAACAACCCAAUUCAGGGAGGACUGUUAAGGUCCAGACCUUUUAGGAAUGAAAGUUUGGGUCACUCCACCAGGCAAAGAACUACAAUCAGGUGAGGUGCUUGCUG
RNAcentral lists this long non-coding RNA (1203 nucleotides) under Equus caballus (horse). Its description in RNAcentral is "lncRNA (ENSECAG00000050288.1)". Lineage: Eukaryota; Metazoa; Chordata; Mammalia; Perissodactyla; Equidae. The record is from RNAcentral.